CCCUUAGACGUUCUGGGCCGCACGCGCGCUACACUGACCAGUGCAACAAGCAUCCGUCCUUGGCCGACAGGCCCGGGCAAUCUUUGAACGCUGGUCGUGAUGGGGAUAGACUUUUGCAAUUUUUGGUCUCCAACGAGGAAUUCCUAGUAAACGCAAGUCAUCAACUUGCAUUGAUUACGUCCCUGCCCUUUGUACACACCGCCCGUCGCACCUACCGAUUGAAUGGUCCGGUGAAGCCUCCGGAUUGGCGCGCACCUCGGUGCCGCCGAGAAGUUGGCUAAACCUUACCAUUUAGAGGAAGGUGAAGUCGUAACA
Molecule: ribosomal RNA, 315 nt
Filed under: uncultured eukaryote
Lineage: Eukaryota
Description: partial 18S ribosomal RNA
Rfam family: Eukaryotic small subunit ribosomal RNA
Source: RNAcentral